AGUAUUGAAUGCCGAAGACAGUAGGUGCCGUAAGGCGUAAGUUGAAAACACCUGCCGAGGAACAUACAAAACUCACAAGCAGAAUUUUGUAAACCUCUCUGUCCUCGCGAUGGAGAGGUUUUCCUUG
This 127-nucleotide small RNA is filed under the name human gut metagenome. RNAcentral's name for it is "Ribosomal protein L10 leader". It matches the Rfam family "Ribosomal protein L10 leader". Rfam says of the family: This family is a putative r-protein leader autoregulatory structure found in B. subtilis and other low-GC Gram-positive bacteria. The record is from RNAcentral.